This 489-nucleotide ribosomal RNA is filed under the name uncultured bacterium. RNAcentral's name for it is "partial 16S ribosomal RNA". It matches the Rfam family "Bacterial small subunit ribosomal RNA", at positions 30 to 507 of the family's 1533-position model. The record is from RNAcentral.
UUGCACGCUGGCGGCAGGCCUCACACAUGCAAGUCGAACGGUAACAGGAAGAAGCUUGCUUCUUUGCUGACGAGUGGCGGACGGGCGAGUAAUGUCUGGGAAACUGCCUGAUGGAGGGGGAUAACUACUGGAAACGGUAGCUAAUACCGCAUAACGUCGCAAGACCAAAGAGGGGGACCUUCGGGCCUCUUGCCAUCGGAUGUGCCCAGAUGGGAUUAGCUAGUAGGUGGGGUAACGGCUCACCUAGGCGACGAUCCCUAGCUGGUCUGAGAGGAUGACCAGCCACACUGGAACUGAGACACGGUCCAGACUCCUACGGGAGGCAGCAGUGGGGAAUAUUGCACAAUGGGCGCAAGCCUGAUGCAGCCAUGCCGCGUGUAUGAAGAAGGCCUUCGGGUUGUAAAGUACUUUCAGCGGGGAGGAAGGGAGUAAAGUUAAUACCUUUGCUCAUUGACGUUACCCGCAGAAGAAGCACCGGCUAACUCCGUG